UACGUAGGGUGCUAGCGUUGUCCGGAUUUAUUGGGCGUAAAGAGCUUGUAGGCGGCUCGUCGCGUCGGGUGUGAAAACUUGCGGCUUAACCGCAAGCCUGCACCCGAUACGGGCGGGCUAGAGUUCGGCAGGGGAGACUGGAAUUCCUGGUGUAGCGGUGGAAUGCGCAGAUAUCAGGAGGAACACCGGUGGCGAAGGCGGGUCUCUGGGCCGAUACUGACGCUGAGAAGCGAAAGCGUGGGGAGCGAACAGG
This 253-nucleotide ribosomal RNA is filed under the name uncultured bacterium. RNAcentral's name for it is "partial 16S ribosomal RNA". It matches the Rfam family "Bacterial small subunit ribosomal RNA", at positions 524 to 776 of the family's 1533-position model. The record is from RNAcentral.